RNAcentral lists this ribosomal RNA (1343 nucleotides) under uncultured bacterium. Its description in RNAcentral is "16S ribosomal RNA". It matches the Rfam family "Bacterial small subunit ribosomal RNA", at positions 28 to 1378 of the family's 1533-position model. The record is from RNAcentral.
GACGAACGCUGGCGGCGUGCUUAACACAUGCAAGUCGAACGGAAAGGCCCUGCUUUUGUGGGGUGCUCGAGUGGCGAACGGGUGAGUAACACGUGAGUAACCUGCCCUUGACUUUGGGAUAACUUCAGGAAACUGGGGCUAAUACCGGAUAGGAGCUCCUGCUGCAUGGUGGGGGUUGGAAAGUUUCGGCGGUUGGGGAUGGACUCGCGGCUUAUCAGCUUGUUGGUGGGGUAGUGGCUUACCAAGGCUUUGACGGGUAGCCGGCCUGAGAGGGUGACCGGCCACAUUGGGACUGAGAUACGGCCCAGACUCCUACGGGAGGCAGCAGUGGGGAAUAUUGCACAAUGGGCGGAAGCCUGAUGCAGCAACGCCGCGUGCGGGAUGACGGCCUUCGGGUUGUAAACCGCUUUCGCCUGUGACGAAGCGUGAGUGACGGUAAUGGGUAAAGAAGCACCGGCUAACUACGUGCCAGCAGCCGCGGUGAUACGUAGGGUGCGAGCGUUGUCCGGAUUUAUUGGGCGUAAAGGGCUCGUAGGUGGUUGAUCGCGUCGGAAGUGUAAUCUUGGGGCUUAACCCUGAGCGCGCUUUCGAUACGGGUUGACUUGAGGAAGGUAGGGGAGAAUGGAAUUCCUGGUGGAGCGGUGGAAUGCGCAGAUAUCAGGAGGAACACCAGUGGCGAAGGCGGUUCUCUGGGCCUUUCCUGACGCUGAGGAGCGAAAGCGUGGGGAGCGAACAGGCUUAGAUACCCUGGUAGUCCACGCUGUAAACGGUGGGUACUAGGUGUGGGGUCCAUUCCACGGGUUCCGUGCCGUAGCUAACGCUUUAAGUACCCCGCCUGGGGAGUACGGCCGCAAGGCUAAAACUCAAAGGAAUUGACGGGGCCCCGCACAAGCGGCGGAGCAUGCGGAUUAAUUCGAUGCAACGCGUAGAACCUUACCUGGGUUUGACAUGGAUCGGGAGCGCUCAGAGAUGGGUGUGCCUCUUUUAGGGUCGGUUCACAGGUGGUGCAUGGCUGUCGUCAGCUCGUGUCGUGAGAUGUUGGGUUAAGUCCCGCAACGAGCGCAACCCUUGUUCACUGUUGCCAGCACGUUAUGGUGGGGACUCAGUGGAGACCGCCGGGGUCAACUCGGAGGAAGGUGGGGAUGACGUCAAGUCAUCAUGCCCCUUAUGUCCAGGGCUUCACGCAUGCUACAAUGGCUGGUACAGAGAGUGGCGAGCCUGUGAGGGUGAGCGAAUCUCGGAAAGCCGGUCUCAGUUCGGAUUGGGGUCUGCAACUCGACCUCAUGAAGUCGGAGUCGCUAGUAAUCGCAGAUCGGCAACGCUGCGGUGAAUACGUUCCCGGG